RNAcentral lists this ribosomal RNA (489 nucleotides) under uncultured bacterium. Its description in RNAcentral is "partial 16S ribosomal RNA". It matches the Rfam family "Bacterial small subunit ribosomal RNA", at positions 30 to 507 of the family's 1533-position model. The record is from RNAcentral.
UUGAACGCUGGCGGCAGGCCUAACACAUGCAAGUCGAACGGUAACAGGAAGCAGCUUGCUGCUUUGCUGACGCGUGGCGGACGGGUGAGUAAUGUCUGGGAAACUGCCCGAUGGAGGGGGAUAACUACUGGAAACGGUAGCUAAUACCGCAUAACGUCGCAAGACCAAAGAGGGGGACCUUAGGGCCUCUUGCCAUCGGAUGUGCCCAGAUGGGAUUAGCUAGUAGGUGGGGUAACGGCUCACCUAGGCGACGAUCCCUAGCUGGUCUGAGAGGAUGACCAGCCACACUGGAACUGAGACACGGUCCAGACUCCUACGGGAGGCAGCAGUGGGGAAUAUUGCACAAUGGGGGCAAGCCUGAUGCAGCCAUGCCGCGUGUAUGAAGAAGGCCUUCGGGUUGUAAAGUACUUUCAGCGGGGAGGAAGGGAGUAAAGUUAAUACCUUUGCUCAUUGACGUUACCCGCAGAAGAAGCACCGGCUAACUCCGUG